Molecule: non-coding RNA, 107 nt
Organism: Pelobates cultripes (western spadefoot toad)
Lineage: Eukaryota; Metazoa; Chordata; Amphibia; Anura; Pelobatidae
Source: the annotation of a GenBank genome assembly
AAGUGUCCCCAUGUCUCCCAGUGUCCCCAUGUCUUCCAGUGUCCCCUAGUAUCCCAGUGACCCAGGACACACUGAGACAUGGGGACACUGGGAGAAAUGGGGACACA